GACGAACGCUGGCGGCGUGCUUAACACAUGCAAGUCGAACGGAAAGGCCCCCUUGUGGGGUACUCGAGUGGCGAACGGGUGAGUAACACGUGAGUAACCUACCCUUGACUUUGGGAUAACUUCAGGAAACUGGGGCUAAUACCGGAUAGGAGCUCCUGCUGCAUGAUGGGGGUUGGAAAGUUUCGGCGGUUGGGGAUGGACUCGCGGCUUAUCAGCUUGUUGGUGGGGUAGUGGCUCACCAAGGCUUUGACGGGUAGCCGGCCUGAGAGGGUGACCGGCCACAUUGGGACUGAGAUACGGCCCAGACUCCUACGGGAGGCAGCAGUGGGGAAUAUUGCACAAUGGGCGGAAGCCUGAUGCAGCAACGCCGCGUGCGGGAUGACGGCCUUCGGGUUGUAAACCGCUUUCGCCUGUGACGAAGCGUGAGUGACGGUAAUGGGUAAAGAAGCACCGGCUAACUACGUG
RNAcentral lists this ribosomal RNA (465 nucleotides) under uncultured bacterium. RNAcentral describes it as "partial 16S ribosomal RNA". It matches the Rfam family "Bacterial small subunit ribosomal RNA", at positions 28 to 507 of the family's 1533-position model. The record is from RNAcentral.